UCCGGGGUAGCUCAACUGGCGGAGCAGGGCGCUGUUAACGCCAAGGUUGUGGGUUCGAGUCCCACCCCCGGAG
RNAcentral lists this transfer RNA (73 nucleotides) under Euzebyaceae bacterium. Its description in RNAcentral is "tRNA-Asn". It matches the Rfam family "tRNA". From Rfam's summary of the family: Transfer RNA (tRNA) molecules are approximately 80 nucleotides in length. Their secondary structure includes four short double-helical elements and three loops (D, anti-codon, and T loops). Further hydrogen bonds mediate the characteristic L-shaped molecular structure. tRNAs have two regions of fundamental functional importance: the anti-codon, which is responsible for specific mRNA codon recognition, and the 3' end, to which the tRNAs corresponding amino acid is attached (by aminoacyl-tRNA synthetases). tRNAs cope with the degeneracy of the genetic code in two manners: having more than one tRNA (with a specific anti-codon) for a particular amino acid; and 'wobble' base-pairing, i.e. permitting non-standard base-pairing at the 3rd anti-codon position. The record is from RNAcentral. Lineage: Bacteria; Bacillati; Actinomycetota; Nitriliruptoria; Euzebyales; Euzebyaceae.